CUCCAAGGCCCCACUUUUUUGUCAACACUCCUUGGACGCAGCAGAAGUAUGAACAUAAUAUGGUCCUGAAUGAGGCUGAGUCUUUGGGCGCAGAAGACCCGGGUUAAUAAAAAUAGGAAGAAUCAGAUGCUGCCCUUGUGGCCAGUUGGGUUCCCACCCACCUGAUUCUGGAGCCCUGGACCAGAGCCCUACGUUCACCAUGGGAAGAGACCUUGUGAUAAGCCACUCCUGAAGGCAUGGCCUAACUCUGGACACAGGUGGACAGUGGGUCACCACCAGGCUUGGCCACCACCCAGAUCCCCUUGGACCAGGAGAUCAAGGCUUCGUGCUCCAUCAAGGACAUGAAACAAAACAAUGGGGAGGAAUAAAACAGGAGACCUAAAAAAGGAGGCUGGCCUUUGCCCCACGGCCUUGGCUGCAGCACCAUCACAUGCCUCCACGCCUCUCCAUCUCCUCAUGAAGAUCUCUCUCCAGAUAGAGACCAUUUCCUCCCUAGAGGAAUCCUUGUACUAUCCGUAGGUGAGAACACUUCACCUCAUUACCUGGAUGUGGAGUGUUGAAGCUGGAAGGGAUCCCAGAGAUCGGAAGUGAGAGGGAGAAAACAAUGAACUUUGAGUGCAAAAAGAGAAGGAAGGAAAAGGUAGAAGAGAAAGAGAGAGAGGAGACAAAGGAGGAAAAAGGUGGUAGAGAAUGAUAUGGGGUUUCAACAUGUUGGCCAGGCUGGUCUCGAACUCCUGACCUCAGGUGAUCCACCAGCCUCAGCUUCCCAAAGUGCUGGAAUUACAG
Long non-coding RNA from Homo sapiens (human), 786 nucleotides. Ensembl annotates it as downregulated RNA in cancer, inhibitor of cell invasion and migration. Its record names the gene DRAIC. NCBI's taxonomy places the organism in Eukaryota, Metazoa, Chordata, Mammalia, Primates, Hominidae. The record is from Ensembl.